AUGGCAGUGGUGGACGCCGAGGCUCCCUUUCUCCAGGGCAAGGAGGAGCCGCUGGCCGGAGUCUCCGACUUCCGCGGCCGCCCCGUCUACCGCGCCACCUCUGGCGGUCGGCGCUCCGCCAUCGCCGUGGUGGAGGGCGCCGGCAGUUUCGUCUACUACGGCGUGUCGGCGAACUUGAUCACGUACAUGACAGGGCCGCUCGGCCACUCCAACGCGGAGGCGGCCGCGGCGGUGAACGUCUGGACGGGGACGGCCAGGCUCAUGCCGCUGCUGGGCGCCUUCGUCGCCGACUCCUGGCUGGGGCGCUACUGGUCCAUCAUCCUCGCCUGCACCCUCUACGUCCUGGGUUAUGGCAUGAUCACUCUAGCAUCCACACUCCUGACCCAGCGACCAUCAUCGACCCUCGACAGCGACUCUUCUUCUAACCCUAUGUCGCCGCAGGUGGCCUUCUUUUAUGUCUCCCUCUAUCUCAUUGCCCUCGCACAGGGUGCCGACAAGCCAUGCGGACUUGCAUUUGCCGCCGAUCAAUUCGACGCCGACCACCCCAGGGAGUGUGCCGCCCGUAGCUCCUUCUUCAAUUGGUGGCACUUCUCCAUAGCCAUUGGUAUCGCCGUCGCCAUUAUUGUCGUCAGCUACAUCCAGGAGAAUCUUGGUUGGGGAAUUUGUUUUGGCAUGCUCUGCACCGUCAUGAUUUGUGCCUUUGUCAUCUUCCUCGUUGGUAUUCCCACCUAUCGCCUCCACGCAUCCAUCGUUGGCUCCGGCAGCCCCUUUAUCCGUCUCGGGUGUAGUCUCAUCACGCUUGCCAGAAACUCAGGUUUCUCCUUCCAUGCUAAAAGACACAUGCAUGAAGAUGAAGACGCCACAAGCAACUUGGAGGAGGCUCGCGGCGUCCUAGGGCUACUGCCGAUCUGGGUUGCAUGUCUAGCAUAUGGUGUGGUGUUCGUGCAGAUCACGACACUUUUUAACAAGCAGGACCACACCCUAGAUUGCCAUAUCUUUGGUAGCCUAGAGCUGCCACCGGCCAUGUUGCAAACGUUUUGGCCAGCAUCUGUCUUGUUGUUCGUUCCCUUUUAUGAUUGUGUUCUAGUGCCGGCCCUACGUUGUCUGACGGGCACUUCGUCCGGGCUGACACAACUUCAACGAGUAGGCACAGGCAUGGCCGUGUCACUUGCCGCCAUGUGUGUGGCGGCAUUGGUGGAGACCCAGAGGCUAGAGAUGGCACGUGAGCACAACCUGGUUGAAGACACAGAGGCGACGGUCCCAAUGAGUUGGUCAUGGCUGGUGCCGCAGUACGUGAUGGUCGGGGUGGCGGACGUGUUCAUAAUAGUUGGGAUGCAAGAGUUCUUUUAUGACCAGAUGCCCAGCGAGCUUCGUAGCCUUGGCAUAGCGCUCUACUGCAGUGUGAUUGGCAUCGGUGGCUUCAUCAGCGGCACUCUCAUCUCACUCAUUGACCGCAUCACACGCAAAGGCGGUGGCGAUAGCUGGUUCUCUGACAACCUCAACCGCGCCCACCUCGACUACUUCUAUUGGCUGCUUGCCGGCCUCAGUGCGGCAGAGCUCGCACUCUACAUUUGCUUCGCUAGAGCCUACACCUACAAGGAGAAGAGAGACUUUUGA
Molecule: ribosomal RNA, 1617 nt
Filed under: Triticum aestivum (bread wheat)
Lineage: Eukaryota; Viridiplantae; Streptophyta; Magnoliopsida; Poales; Poaceae
Description: partial small subunit ribosomal RNA
Source: RNAcentral